GGGGCCGAUUUGGAUUCGACGACGGUUACAAAACUGGAGGGGCAUGCCGAGUUGGUAACAGAACUCGUAAAUCCACUGUUGCAAAACUAUAUAAUUGCCAAUGACGACAAUUAUGGUGCUCAACUAGCUGCGUAAGCAGCCUAGAUAGCACUUCUGGUAGCUUCGGCUCCAGCGAUCAUUAGAGGAUGCCUGUAAACUCGAAGUGAUUGUCAGAUAGAACAGGAUCGCCGCCUAGUACGUUGUGGACGACGUGGCUAAACAUUACACAACUCGCUCCAAGCACCCUGCCACUCGGGCGGUGAGGAGUUAACUCAGUAGAGAUGGCUAAGCAUGUAGAACCGAUAGCGGCGGACUGGCGGACGGGGGUUCAAAUCCCCCCGGCUCCACCA
Molecule: transfer-messenger RNA, 389 nt
Filed under: Pseudomonadaceae
Lineage: Bacteria; Pseudomonadati; Pseudomonadota; Gammaproteobacteria; Pseudomonadales
Also listed under: 3 other names
Description: Halopseudomonas sabulinigri_A Standard tmRNA
Rfam family: transfer-messenger RNA
About the family: Bacterial tmRNA, also known as 10Sa RNA or SsrA, is named for its dual tRNA and mRNA-like properties. Its role is to liberate the mRNA from a stalled ribosome. To accomplish this part of the tmRNA is used as a reading frame that ends in a translation stop signal.
Source: RNAcentral